CUCGUGCCUCCACAUGUACGCAGGGGCGGAGCCCAAUGGGCCAACCCUGUAGCACAAGCUACAGGGUCGAGGAAUUUUUUUAGUGCUAAUUAACAGUCGUUUGGCCCAUGGCAACAGGGUGGCCCAGCAAGUGUGCCACAGGGUCCGAUGAAACCAGCCCGCGCGGGCUCGUGGCUUCACUUCCAACAGCCCACUACCCACGUCAUGUACGUAUGCCAGUAUACGCUCGAUCCCUUCAAACGCACACCGGCACACACGAUCGAUCGUAUUUGUUAUCCAUCUCCCUUCUCCGAGCAAGCGAGGCGAGCAAAUCCAUGCGCGGCGGCGGCGGCGAUCUAUCGAUCGAAUCGAUCCGUUCCUGAUGGGUGGGCGGCCGGAAAACACGUACGCGAAGCAGCGGCAACCGGCAGGCCGGACCGCCGGAGACUGCGGAUCGACUACUGACGCUGCAGCCUGCAGCGCCGAAGCCGCCACGGCUCGAUCGCGAGUCAUGGCCACGUCGCACGCCGGAAUUUCUCUUUCCCUCUCUUAGCUAAUUAGUAAUAUGCUUUUGAAUUUUCCUUUAGAUUACAAUCAUUGCUUGAUUCGAAUUCUGCUCGAUAUCCCUUCUUUGUAUUGUUUUUUCUAUAUAUUUUUACAAGUCGCAACAAUUGUAUGUAUAAAAUUGGGGCUAGUAAGUUAAACCUUAUUGAAAUAUAUUUAUAUGUAUGCGUUUUGGCAAAACAUGGGGCAUCAGCUAUUGUUUGAAGUUGUAAUUACGUAUACUUCAUUGGCUUCACAAUUUUGAUUCCUCACUAGUUUUAAUUGUUAAAUGCAGAUAGUAUGGACCAGGUUCUUCUCAAAAGAAAGGCACCAUCACAUUCCCAAUUAGGUGUAUGGAUGGAUGGCAGCGUUUGCUUGAUAUACAACUGAAGGAUGUGUGUAGCUUUUUACUCUGCUCGACAAUUGGAUGUUCCAGGCUGACAUAAUUAAAUGAGGCUUAGUAUUCAGGACAAAGUUAUGAACGAUGGUUGACUUA
Triticum aestivum (bread wheat) is the source of this 1018-nucleotide long non-coding RNA. RefSeq lists it as uncharacterized. NCBI's taxonomy places the organism in Eukaryota, Viridiplantae, Streptophyta, Magnoliopsida, Poales, Poaceae. The transcript has 3 exons. The record is from RefSeq and is a predicted model, not a curated record.